This is a long non-coding RNA of Etheostoma spectabile (orangethroat darter), 414 nucleotides long. RefSeq lists it as uncharacterized. The transcript is spliced from 3 exons. Lineage: Eukaryota; Metazoa; Chordata; Actinopteri; Perciformes; Percidae. The record is from RefSeq and is a predicted model, not a curated record.
UCUAACUCCUCCUCUGAGUGGUCAGGGGAGGACAGGCGUGGUCGGCUAGCCGCAUCUUCUGACCAUCUAUCUCUGAGGAAGAUAUGAAGGACUCUGAUUGGCCACUCUCAGACAAAGACCUUGGCCAGACAGGGGGGAUGGCCCAUGUCUGUCCAGUGAGCGAAGAAGACAAGAUGGCUGCUGCUAAGGCGGAUCUGUAGAUUGAAAGACGCUGGCUCUGUGCAGAUUUGUCGUAUCUAGACGCUUCUCUACAAGAAGCACCUUGCUACAAAAGUAGUGCUGAUUGGCUAAACGUGAGAAGAGAAGCCAAUCAGUGACUAGUAUGAUUUACCUAGCAACGACGUCCUCACAAACCAGCGGACUGGCCAACAGAGGGCGAUGUCGUUCCAUCUGAUGAUCAACUGUCAUUUACUG